This 253-nucleotide ribosomal RNA is filed under the name uncultured bacterium. Its description in RNAcentral is "partial 16S ribosomal RNA". It matches the Rfam family "Bacterial small subunit ribosomal RNA", at positions 524 to 776 of the family's 1533-position model. The record is from RNAcentral.
UACGUAGGGGGCUAGCGUUGUCCGGAUUUAUUGGGCGUAAAGAGCGUGUAGGCGGCCAGGCAGGUCCGUUGUGAAAACUGGAGGCUUAACCUCCAGACGUCGACGGAAACCGCGCGGCUAGAGUCCGGAAGAGGAGAGUGGAAUUCCUGGUGUAGCGGUGAAAUGCGCAGAUAUCAGGAAGAACACCAAUGGCGAAGGCAGCUCUCUGGGACGGUACUGACGCUGAGACGCGAAAGCGUGGGGAGCGAACAGG